GAUGAACGCUGGCGGCGGGCUUAACACAUGCAAGUCGAACGGAAAGGCGCCUGCUUGCAGGGGUACUCGAGUGGCGAACGGGUGAGUAACACGUGGGCGAUCUGCCCUGCACUUCGGGAUAAGCCUGGGAAACUGGGUCUAAUACCGGAUACGACGAUGGUUUGGAUGCCAUUGUGGAAAGUUUUUUCGGUGUGGGAUGAGCUCGCGGCCUAUCAGCUUGUUUGUGGGGUAGUCGCCUACCAAGGCGUCGACGGGUAGCCGGCCUGAGAGGGUGUACGGCCACCUUAGCACUGUGCUACGGCCCGGAGUCCUACGGGAUGCAGCACUGUGGAAUAGUGCCUGAUCCACGCAAGCCUGAUGCAGCAACGCCGUGUGGUGGAUGGCAGCCUUCGGGUUGUCGGCUCCUUUCGCUGGCGCCGAUGCGCCAGUGACGGUACCUGAUGAAGAAGCACCGGCUAACUCCGUG
RNAcentral lists this ribosomal RNA (466 nucleotides) under uncultured bacterium. Its description in RNAcentral is "partial 16S ribosomal RNA". It matches the Rfam family "Bacterial small subunit ribosomal RNA", at positions 28 to 507 of the family's 1533-position model. The record is from RNAcentral.